This 66-nucleotide transfer RNA is filed under the name Medon apicalis. RNAcentral's name for it is "tRNA-Phe". Lineage: Eukaryota; Metazoa; Arthropoda; Insecta; Coleoptera; Staphylinidae. The record is from RNAcentral.
AUUCAAAUAGCUUAUUUAAGAGCAUAAUAUUGAAGAUAUUAAGGAAAUAGAAUUUAUUUUUGAAUA